CUAGUACCGAUGUUAACGCGAUAACCAUUCCGCCUUGAGAGUACGGUCGCAAGACUGAAACCAAAAAAAUUA
RNAcentral lists this ribosomal RNA (72 nucleotides) under Lentinula edodes (shiitake mushroom). Its description in RNAcentral is "partial small subunit ribosomal RNA". Lineage: Eukaryota; Fungi; Basidiomycota; Agaricomycetes; Agaricales; Omphalotaceae. RNAcentral also lists the same sequence under 2 other names. The record is from RNAcentral.